RNAcentral lists this long non-coding RNA (1530 nucleotides) under Homo sapiens (human). RNAcentral's name for it is "HSALNT0010146". Lineage: Eukaryota; Metazoa; Chordata; Mammalia; Primates; Hominidae. The record is from RNAcentral.
UGAUAUAAUGUGUGCCACAUCGGCUGGUGUGCAACUGAAGGGAGGAGGGAGCAGGCGUUCCUCUGCUGCUGAAGAGGGCUGUGGAAACUUAAGUCAUAGACAUGCUUCAGUGAGAGGAUGAGGAUUUGCCCAGAUGGGAAGCUUCAAGUGCAGAGGCACUUGUACAUCUACUUAUCUUGAGUCUCAAUGAUGCUGUUUAUGAGUGAGCUAUUCAAAUGGAGGAAGAAACCCACGGAGAAGGAGAAAUAACAGGUCGGAGUGAUUAUGUACAGAAGGAUAGGCUCUAGCAGGAGUCCAGUGGGAAAGAAGGAAGGGAAUACAAUUAAGAAUUAUUAAUGGCAGAUCUCUAAUGAUUUCACUGGAUCCAAAGGAACAGGGCAAUACUGAGUAAGAAACACUUGAUAUACGAAAAAAGCGUGAGUGCGAAGGAAAAUACAUCAUUCUACAGAUGUUGACGGACUCUGACGGUGGGAAAGCGUCCCUCAAGAUUGAAUUGGAGUAGAAGCUGACCCUCCCACUUGCCCAGAGAUCCCCUAGCUGGAUACGAUUUCAGCAAUAGAACACUUGAUCAUCACAGUGCUUGGCAUAUAGUUUCCUGAUCAAUUUCAUCACACAAGCUGGCAGCUAUGGGCAGUGAGGGAAGGAAGGGGCAAUCUCCUCACUAGACAGCCGUGCCAAGGUCACCCUGGUCCAUCCAUGAGGUAAGCCAUGUGACAGCCAAACCACUGCAGGACCCUAAAAGUCACUAUGUGACCUGGAGCCACAAACUCAAGGUGCUGGGGACACUCCAGAAAGGCAGAUGCUGAUCUCCUGCAAGAAGGGAUCUUCUUCCUCAGAGACACUGAGGAUGACCAUCAAUUUCCCUCACUUAACACCGCUUCUCGCAUAAGAUGCUGUACAGGGGACCUCACCAUUAGUUCAAAGUUUUAAUGUUUGUAACAUGUGUUUACCUCCAUUUCUGCCAAUGCUACCUGCUACCCCCCUUCCCCCACCACACACACCUAUUAUUUCAAAUUAUUUCUCCUUUCUUCCAGGAGAAAACAAAAAAAUCCAAAUGUGUCUUCAAACAUGGCCAGAAUGAGGUUUCAACACACAUGGGAACAAGAUAUAUUCAUGGAAUGUGCCUUUGAACCUGCAUUCAAAAGAACUCAGACAGAGGAGGAGAAUGGACCAGAUGACCUCUAUAGGUGUCUCUCCACAGGGUAAGUCCAAGUUCUAUAUUCUUGGUAAAGGUUUGCCUCUCUAGGCCUUAUAUGUGAAACAACAGACUUGUUUGAUGAGUUGUCUGCUCUCAGGGAGUUUACAAUCUAUUAGAAAAAUCAAACGCCCAGAGAGGUCAAGAUGUCUGCAAAGAGACACAGAGUGAUGCAAUGGAAAUCCUGUGUGGAGGUCUCCAGAAGGCUAAUUUCUGAAGCAGUGUUCUAUCCACAUGACCGUGCUGCUGCUCAUUAAGAUGGUACCUCUCAUUAAGAUAAAGCAUAAUCAUUAAAAAUCCUUUAGCUUGCUCACAUUAACUACCAUUGUGCGUCA